Mesocricetus auratus (golden hamster) is the source of this 2014-nucleotide RNA transcript. It is a transcript of the gene named ATPase H+ transporting V1 subunit H, with no coding region annotated. The transcript has 15 exons. Lineage: Eukaryota; Metazoa; Chordata; Mammalia; Rodentia; Cricetidae. The record is from RefSeq and is a predicted model, not a curated record.
UGCCUGCUGUCACUUUGCAGCUGUUCCGGCUUCCUCCGUGUGAGGCUCGUAACGUCUCCCGCGGAGUCGCCCUCGCUUCGCUCCGGGUCUCCCGUGGCCACCGAGCCUCGGAGCUCGACCGGCGCCUGCCCGCCCGUGCGGCCCUCGCGUCCCCGCGGCAGUCCAGGUCUGUGGAGAAACACUCACUAUCAUAUUAGAUGACCAAAAUGGACAUUCGAGGUGCCGUGGAUGCCGCAGUCCCAACUAACAUCAUUGCAGCUAAGGCUGCCGAAGUUCGUGCCAAUAAAGUAAACUGGCAGUCCUAUCUUCAGGGGCAGAUGAUUUCUGCUGAAGAUUGUGAAUUUAUUCAAAGGUUUGAAAUGAAAAGAAGUUGCGAGGAGAAGCAAGAGAUGCUUCAGGCUGAAGGCAGCCAGUGUGCUAAAACAUUUAUAAAUCUGAUGACACACAUCUCCAAAGAACAGACUGUGCAGUACAUACUAACCAUGGUUGAUGAUAUGCUGCAGGAAAAUCACCAGCGUGUCAGCAUUUUCUUUGACUAUGCAAAACGAUGCAAGAGCACUGCCUGGCCGUACUUUCUGCCAAUGUUGAAUCGCCAGGAUCCCUUUACUGUUCAUAUGGCAGCAAGAAUUAUUGCCAAGUUAGCAGCUUGGGGCAAAGAAUUGAUGGAAGGCAGUGACUUAAAUUACUAUUUUAACUGGAUAAAAACUCAGCUGAGUUCACAGAAACUUCGUGGUAGCGGUGUUGCUGUUGAAACAGGAACAAUCUCUUCAAUUGAUAGUUCUCAGUAUGUGCAGUGUGUUGCUGGCUGUCUGCAGCUGAUGCUCCGGGUCAAUGAGUACCGUUUUGCCUGGGUGGAAGCAGAUGGGGUGAACUGUAUAAUGGGCGUUUUGAGUAACAAGUGUGGCUUUCAACUGCAAUAUCAAAUGAUUUUUUCAAUAUGGCUCCUGGCAUUCAGUCCUCAAAUGUGUGAACACCUUCGCCGCUACAAUAUCAUUCCUGUUCUCUCAGACAUCCUUCAAGAAUCUGUCAAAGAGAAAGUAACAAGAAUCAUUCUUGCAGCAUUCCGUAAUUUCCUAGAAAAAUCAACUGAAAGAGAAACUCGCCAAGAAUAUGCUCUGGCUAUGAUUCAGUGCAAAGUCCUGAAACAGUUGGAGAACUUGGAGCAGCAGAAGUAUGAUGAUGAAGACAUCAGUGAAGACAUCAAAUUUCUUUUGGAAAAACUUGGUGAGAGUGUCCAGGACCUUAGUUCAUUUGAUGAAUACAGUUCAGAGCUUAAAUCUGGAAGGUUGGAAUGGAGUCCUGUACACAAGUCUGAGAAAUUCUGGAGAGAGAAUGCUGUGAGGUUGAAUGAGAAGAACUAUGAACUCUUGAAAAUCUUGACAAAACUUCUAGAGGUAUCAGAUGAUCCACAAGUCUUAGCUGUUGCUGCUCAUGAUGUUGGAGAAUAUGUUCGACAUUAUCCUCGGGGCAAACGGGUUAUUGAGCAGCUCGGUGGAAAGCAGCUGGUGAUGAACCACAUGCACCAUGAAGACCAGCAGGUCCGCUACAAUGCUCUGCUGGCCGUGCAGAAGCUCAUGGUGCACAACUGAAUGAUUUUAGAUGUAAUCCUCUAAUUCAGAAGCAACAGUGUGUGCGUAUGGACAGCUCAGGACUUCAGGAAAGAAACACUGAAUUUUGGAAUAUCUUGGCAAACAACUCCAGUCAGAGCAGCCUCAGACUGCUGCCGCCCGGAGCUGAGCUGGCCUCUUCAGCUUUUCUGCACCUCCGAUGGACCACUGGAGUGAGAACCUCAGUCCUUAGGGUCAAAAAUGAAUAGUUUUUAUUUCAAUGAUAAUUUCUGUUGUAUAGCUUUUUGCAGUGGUAAUUCCUGGGGUAAUAAAGGUGUUUGCUUGUUAAGUUGUAUAAAAGUAGGUGCUGUCUAUCUAGGAAAAUAUUAUUGUUACAUACAUUGCUUAUAAUUUCUGUAUUUAUUGUUCUCUGGAAAUAAAUAUAAUUAAAGGAUUCUCACUCCAAA